RNAcentral lists this ribosomal RNA (497 nucleotides) under uncultured bacterium. Its description in RNAcentral is "partial 16S ribosomal RNA". It matches the Rfam family "Bacterial small subunit ribosomal RNA", at positions 28 to 507 of the family's 1533-position model. The record is from RNAcentral.
GAUGAACGCUGGCGGCGUGCCUAAUACAUGCAAGUCGAGCGAACAGAUGAGGAGCUUGCUCCUCUGACGUUAGCGGCGGACGGGUGAGUAACACGUGGAUAACCUACCUAUAAGACUGGGAUAACUUCGGGAAACCGGAGCUAAUACCGGAUAAUAUAUUGAACCGCAUGGUUCAAUAGUGAAAGACGGUUUUGCUGUCACUUAUAGAUGGAUCCGCGCCGCAUUAGCUAGUUGGUAAGGUAACGGCUUACCAAGGCAACGAUGCGUAGCCGACCUGAGAGGGUGAUCGGCCACCUGGGAACUGAGCCACGGUCCAGACUCCUACGGGAGGCAGCAGUAGGGAAUCUUCCGCAAUGGGCGAAAGCCUGACGGAGCAACGCCGCGUGAGUGAUGACGGUCUUCGGAUCGUAAAACUCUGUUAUUAGGGAAGAACAAAUGUGUAAGUAACUAUGCACGUCUUGACGGUACCUAAUCAGAAAGCCACGGCUAACUACGUG